RNAcentral lists this ribosomal RNA (253 nucleotides) under uncultured bacterium. Its description in RNAcentral is "partial 16S ribosomal RNA". It matches the Rfam family "Bacterial small subunit ribosomal RNA", at positions 524 to 776 of the family's 1533-position model. The record is from RNAcentral.
UACGAGGGGGGCAAGCGUUGUUCGGAAUUAUUGGGCGUAAAGGGCGCGUAGGCGGUGCGGUAAGUCACCUGUGAAAACUCUGGGCUCAACUCAGAGCCUGCAGGCGAAACUGCCGUGCUGGAGUGUGGGAGAGGUGCGUGGAAUUCCCGGUGUAGCGGUGAAAUGCGUAGAUAUCAGGAGGAACACCGGUGGCGAAGGCGGGUCUCUGGGCAACAACUGACGCUGAGGAGCGAAAGCGUGGGGAGCGAACAGG